This 273-nucleotide ribosomal RNA is filed under the name uncultured bacterium. RNAcentral describes it as "partial 16S ribosomal RNA". It matches the Rfam family "Bacterial small subunit ribosomal RNA", at positions 524 to 796 of the family's 1533-position model. The record is from RNAcentral.
UACGUAGGGGGCGAGCGUUGUCCGGAAUUACUGGGCGUAAAGGGCGUGUAGGCGGCCGAUCAAGUCAGGUGUGAAAUUUCAGGGCUCAACCCUGAACGUGCAUUUGAAACUGGUUGGCUUGAGUGCAGGAGAGGAAAGUGGAAUUCCCAGUGUAGCGGUGAAAUGCGUAGAUAUUGGGAGGAACACCAGUGGCGAAGGCGACUUUCUGGCCUGCAACUGACGCUGAGGCGCGAAAGCUAGGGGAGCAAACAGGAUUAGAUACCCCCGUAGUCC